RNAcentral lists this ribosomal RNA (380 nucleotides) under uncultured eukaryote. RNAcentral describes it as "partial 18S ribosomal RNA". It matches the Rfam family "Eukaryotic small subunit ribosomal RNA", at positions 592 to 976 of the family's 1831-position model. The record is from RNAcentral.
CAACAGCGUAUAUUAAAGUUGUUGCAGUUAAAACGCUCGUAGUCGGAUUUCGGGGCGGGCGGGCCGGUCUGCCGAUGGGUAUGCACUGGUCUGGCCGUCCUUCCUUCCGGAGACCGUGCGUGCUCUUAACUGAGUGCGCUCGGGAGACGGAUCGUUUACUUUGAAAAAAUCAGAGUGUUUCAAGCAGGCAGCUCGCUCUUGCAUGGAUUAGCAUGGGAUAAUGAAAUAGGACUUUGGUGCUAUUUUGUUGGUUUCGAACACCGAAGUAAUGAUUAACAGGGACAGUCAGGGGCACUCGUAUUCCGCCGAGAGAGGUGAAAUUCUCAGACCAGCGGAAGACGAACCACUGCGAAAGCAUUUGCCAGGGAUGUUUNCACUGA